This 450-nucleotide ribosomal RNA is filed under the name uncultured bacterium. Its description in RNAcentral is "partial 16S ribosomal RNA". It matches the Rfam family "Bacterial small subunit ribosomal RNA", at positions 354 to 796 of the family's 1533-position model. The record is from RNAcentral.
GUGGGGAAUAUUGGACAAUGGGCGAAAGCCUGAUCCAGCCAUGCCGCGUGUGUGAAGAAGGUCUUCGGAUUGUAAAGCACUUUAAGUUGGGAGGAAGGGCAGUAAGUUAAUACCUUGCUGUUUUGACGUUACCGACAGAAUAAGCACCGGCUAACUUCGUGCCAGCAGCCGCGGUAAUACGAAGGGUGCAAGCGUUAAUCGGAAUUACUGGGCGUAAAGCGCGCGUAGGUGGUUUUGUAAGUUGGAGGUGAAAUCCCCGGGCUCAACCUGGGAACUGCCUCCGAAACUGCAUGACUAUAGUACGGUAGAGGGUAGUGUCAUUUCCUGUGUAGCGGUGAAAUGCGUAGAUAUAGGAAGGAACACCAGUGGCGAAGGCGACUACCUGGACUUCUACUGACACUGAGGUGCGAAAGCGUGGGGAGCAAACAGGAUUAGAAACCCUGGUAGUCC